GAUUGGAAGGACCUUCUUAAAUAUUGGAGAUCUCCUGAAUUCGAAGCUCGCAGUUCUACAGCCAAAGAAAAUCGCGCCAAGUCAACCGUGCCUCAUACAGCUGGCAGCAAGAGUCAUGCCCGUGUUGCCCAAGAAAUGGCUGAUGAACUUGGGUAUGCCCCUCGGAGAGACGAAGUGUUCAUCAGAACACACACGCUCAAGAAAGGACCAAACAAAGGACAACACGUGCCAGAGGCAGCUCCAGUUAUUGUAUGUCUCUUUUGCCUU
Molecule: long non-coding RNA, 267 nt
Organism: Lolium rigidum
Lineage: Eukaryota; Viridiplantae; Streptophyta; Magnoliopsida; Poales; Poaceae
Exons: 3
Source: RefSeq, a predicted model, not a curated record